GACGAACGCUGGCGGCGUGCUUAACACAUGCAAGUCGAACGCGCCUGUCCUCUGGGUUUCUGGGGGGUGGGUGAGUGGCGAACGGGUGAGUAACACGUGAGUAACCUGCCCCCUUCUUCGGGAUAACGGUCUGAAAGGGCUGCUAAUACCGGGUAUUCACUGGUCUCCGCAUGGGGUCUGGUGGAAAGGUUUUUUUCUGGUGGGGGAUGAGCUCGCGGCCUAUCAGCUUGUUGGUGGGGUGAUGGCCCACCAAGGCUUUGACGGGUAGCCGGCCUGAGAGGGUGACCGGUCACAUUGGGACUGAGAUACGGCCCAGACUCCUACGGGAGGCAGCAGUGGGGAAGAUUGCACAAUGGGCGCAAGCCUGAUGCAGCGACGCCGCGUGAGGGAUGGAGGCCUUCGGGUUGUGAACCUCUUUCGCCCGUGGUCAAGCCGCGACGUGGGUCGUGGUGAGGGUAGUGGGUAAAGAAGCGCCGGCUAACUACGUG
Molecule: ribosomal RNA, 488 nt
Filed under: uncultured bacterium
Lineage: Bacteria
Description: partial 16S ribosomal RNA
Rfam family: Bacterial small subunit ribosomal RNA
Source: RNAcentral